Molecule: ribosomal RNA, 717 nt
Filed under: uncultured bacterium
Lineage: Bacteria
Description: bacterial SSU rRNA
Rfam family: Bacterial small subunit ribosomal RNA
Source: RNAcentral
GAACGGAGUUAAGGAGCUUGCUUCUUACUUUAGUGGCGAACGGGUGAGUAACGCGUGAGGAACCUGCCUCUCAGUGGGGGACAACAGUUGGAAACGACUGCUAAUACCGCAUGAAACCGUAGUACCGCAUGGUACAUCGGUCAAAGAUUUAUUGCUGAGAGAUGGCCUCGCGUCUGAUUAGCUAGUUGGUGGGGUAACGGCCCACCAAGGCGACGAUCAGUAGCCGGACUGAGAGGUUGACCGGCCACAUUGGGACUGAGAUACGGCCCAGACUCCUACGGGAGGCAGCAGUGGGGAAUAUUGGGCAAUGGGCGAAAGCCUGACCCAGCAACGCCGCGUGAAGGAAGAAGGCCUUCGGGUUGUAAACUUCUUUUACCAGGGACGAACACAAUGACGGUACCUGGAGAAAAAGCAACGGCUAACUACGUGCCAGCAGCCGCGGUAAUACGUAGGUUGCAAGCGUUGUCCGGAAUUACUGGGUGUAAGGGCGUGUAGGCGGAGAUGCAAGUUGGGAGUGAAAUCCAUGGGCUCAACCCAUGAACUGCUUUCAAAACUGCAUCCCUUGAGUAUCGGAGAGGCAAGCGGAAUUCCUAGUGUAGCGGUGAAAUGCGUAGAUAUUAGGAGGAACACCAGUGGCGAAGGCGGCUUGCUGGACGACAACUGACGCUGAGGCGCGAAAGCGUGGGGAGCAAACAGGAUUAGAUACCCUGGUAGUCC